UACAUGGGGUGCAAACGUUGCUCGGAAUUAUUGGGCGUAAAGCGCACGUAGGCGGUUUGUUAAGUCGGAUGUGAAAUCCCUCGGCUCAACUGAGGAAGUGCACCCGAAACUGGCAGGCUUGAGUACUAAAGAGGGUCGCGGAAUUCCCGGUGUAGAGGUGAAAUUCGUAGAUAUCGGGAGGAACACCGGUGGCGAAGGCGGCGACCUGGGUAGAUACUGACGCUGAGGUGCGAAAGCGUGGGGAGCGAACAGG
This 253-nucleotide ribosomal RNA is filed under the name uncultured bacterium. RNAcentral's name for it is "partial 16S ribosomal RNA". It matches the Rfam family "Bacterial small subunit ribosomal RNA", at positions 524 to 776 of the family's 1533-position model. The record is from RNAcentral.